GAAAUAUUCUAGAGAAAUUCUAGGGAGUCCCAUAUUAAGAAAUACUCUUUCAAUUUGUAGUACACUUAAUGUUCAACGAGAAAAUUACAAUAAAAUAAUAAUAAAAUAAAGCAAAAAGCAUAAACUGUCAAUAAAAAUCCUCAAAUCUCAAAAAAUCCUCAAAAUCCACAUUUAAAGUAAAAGUUUAUACAAAUUUUAAACUAAUAGUUUAAUUUUUAUAUUAGAUUUUAAACCAAGUUUUUAAUUGUUGUUAUAAUAAAAAGUUACUUAAGCUUUAUGCAAGUAUAUAUUUAUGUAUUUAUUUUGCUUUCAUAAAUGAUGCCUACCAUGGCCAUAUUUAUGGCACCAUAUCUUUUUGGUAGUUUUGAAUAUUAAAAAAAACUAACAAUUUGAAGUCAAGUGCUUUUACCUAUAUAAUCCACAAGCACCCCGCUAAUCAAAAAUUCCAAGAACGUUUUGAUUAAGUGUCAUAUCCUGCUUGUUGCAUUGCCAUUUUAUGGAUGUUUCUUUUAAUAGCGCACUCAAUCAAUAAUUAUCUGAGACCAUCUAGACCAAUCAAUAGAAAAUAUUAUCCAGACCAAUCCAUUGAAAUGUAGCAAACUGUCAUUGAAAGACUUGUCCUAUGAAUUUUUUGCACUAUUUUUUAUUUUAUUUUAAUAAAGUCACUCUUAGCGGAGCAGUAAGCCACCACUAAUUAAGUUUCAGGUUAAGUAAAAAAAAAAAAAGAAAAUGAUCGACAAAAAAACAUCAUCCAGAUUUGACCAGAAAUUUUUUCUGCCAAUAUGCGUGUCCAAAUAGUAGUUGUAAUCUACUAGACCAAACCACAGAUGAUGAAGAUUUAACUCCAACUUUUGGAUUUUCACAUAUAUUAUAUUUUAAAUAAUACUUUUUAAUUUGUUUAAAACACUAGCAUUACAAAAGUUUAAUAUAGUUUUUAGUUUUAGUUUUUAAUUUUUUAUAAAACUUUUAAGAUUUUAUUUACAGUUUUUGUUUUAUUAAAGUUAUUUAGUUGUAUCAUUGCUUAUGAUAGUUUAAACAUGUAUAAAUAUUUUUGCUGUUUUUGUUUCUUAGUAUGCUUGUUAGGCAGGGCAACCAUAUUGUUGGGUGAACAUUUUUUUUAAUGUUUUGCUAAAGUUAAUUAGUUAAUAUUAUAGUAGAUUAUAGUAAAAAAAAGUAAUUAUAUUAGGUGAUAUUUCUCUUUUACUGACUUAAAUUUAAAAUAUACAAAGUAAAGGCAUAAAGAUCAAAGAGUAAACAUUUAGUUAAUAAAUUGUUCAAAUUAAAAAGUAAUUUAUGCAAAAGCACGUUUCAAAAAGAUGUUUUUAGAUUUAGUGCUGUAUUAGUUAAGGAUUUCAUUAGCAUUGCAAUAUGGCGCUUAAAGUUUUGAUUUCUUUGUAUAAUCUGUUUACCAUAGAUAUAGGUUAUAAAAUUUAUAGCUUUUAUAGGUUAUGAAAUUAAUAAUAGAUGUAGGUUAUAAUAAAUUAUAAUGAAAUUUAAAGGUUAAGCUUAAAUUGUCAAAGUUUUAUUUAAACAUUAAUUCAAUCAAGUGAUUUAUUCAAAAUUGAUUUUCUAUAAAUCUGUUUAAGUUGAAUUUUAUAGUUCAAUUUUAGUAUUAGACAGUUUUUUAAUAUUUAAAGUAAUGGAAACAUCUGCUAACGAUGGUAAGUGUUGAUUAAAUAAAGUAUUGUAGUUUAUAACUUUUUAGUUUAUGUUUAGUAGAAAUUUAUAUGCAUAUCUUUAUCAUUUGAUAGUUUAUUUUAAGUUAAAACUUUACUUUUUUUAGCAUCAGACCAGAGAUUUGCACUAAUAUUGUCAGAAUUAGCCGCUUUAAGAGCAGAAUUAAACAAAGAUGCAUCAAGCUUACCAACUGAUCAGGGUUCUUCAGUCAUAUCAUCACCUCCGGCUCAGGAAGUAGUCAACAACCUUUCUAGUUCAACAAUUUCUGAAAGGACUCUGGCUUUUUGUGUUAUUGAUGUCAAAAAUCUGACUUAGGAUUUCUUUGGGGUACUCCCAAUGAUGGCAUCAAGGAUUCAAAUGGAUUUUCAUUUAACCAGUUCUUGCUUUGGCGUAAUACGCAUCCUGGUCCGAAGACGCUCAAAGCAUUUAAUGUUUGGGCCCGACAAGGUGGCAAAGACCUCCCCAACUUUCGAUGGGGAGGUAGAACUGGGAGCCGCAAGGGUCGCGGACAAGGUGGCCGAGGAGGUGGCGGUAAAGGGUCUUUUGUACUAGGGCGUUGGUAUUUUCAGCUCUAGUUUUUAUUUUAUGUGUAGUUUUAUACUUAUUUAUGUUGAUGUUGUUGCUUUAUAAUUUUAUAUAUGUAUUUUUUAUUUGAAGUAAAAAAGAACAACAUUUCUUAUUUAA
Hydra vulgaris (swiftwater hydra) is the source of this 2361-nucleotide non-coding RNA. The record is from RefSeq and is a predicted model, not a curated record. Lineage: Eukaryota; Metazoa; Cnidaria; Hydrozoa; Anthoathecata; Hydridae.